UGCGGCAGAGGAAGGGGUGUAGCAGCACUUAGGGGUUAAGGGUUGAGUGCGCGAGGCUGCUGGUUUGGGAUUGGAGCCUAGGGGCCUUCGUGCGGGUUAAGGGGUUGGGAGGGGAGUCUAAGCCGUACGGUCGGGGGGCUUUGAGGUCGGGCACUGGAGCGGCCUCUGCUACCGGAGCGCCGGAGACGUAGGGGCGGCCUAAGCCGGGUAGCGGCGCCGGAGGGACCACGAGAAGGAGGAGAAGGAGAUGUGGGCGAGCCCACCCCUGAGAGGCGCCGAGGGCCCGAGGCUAAGCGCGAGCGAGGUGGCGUCCAAGGAGAGGCCACGGCUAGGGCGGUCGGGGCGGCGCAGGUCUCCGCCCUUGGAAAGCCUCCAGUGGCCCCACUUGCCGCUCGUCGACCUCUUGGGGAGGUGGCGCACGCGGCCGUAUAGCGCGGUGCUCCCAAAGCCCAGGGUCACGCUCAAGGAGGCCCGAGUGGGCGUCACGUCGAGGCCGCCUAAGCAGCUGAUAGACCUGAAGAAGAUGACGUCCACGCUCUCUAAGUCCGACGAACCUAUACGGCACGAACGUCACACGGAUCGCCGCGACAAGAUGUACGAGCCAUUGUGCCGACGCCUGAUGAAGACGACGUCGGAGCUCUUCUACAGCCGCGAGGACGCCGAGGGUGGCUGACACCGGCCACAGUGCGACGAGGGGAAACCAUUACCACGAGGACUACACAAACGGUCAUAACGUCGCAAAUACCCCAGACCGCGGCCCCUACACCCCGACUUGUCGCACGACCCGCCUCGCCACAAACAAUGAACACAACAACAACCCCGUCACAGCAACUGGCAACGUCUCUUCUUACACGUCUAACUAACCUCCACGAAACACUCCCUACAACCUAAGAAGGACUAGUGGAACCACCGUGACAGCUAAUACAACUAACAGCCCUUCCACUGGCAAACCCCUCGAUACGACAAACACAGCUAAAUACACCAAAUACGUAAACACCAACGACGUUUACUCAAUAAUUCCUUCGUGCGUGCCUACGACUUCAAACUACAUCAGUGUGGUAACGAAGGACACUCCCCUUCAUAGAAGAGUGUGCCUGAUCUCCUCCUACUAAGACACAUGUCAAGUGAAGAACUCCUCCUGUGUUCACUACUCCGCCGGGUCCAUUUGUGUAGUAACGGCGUCACCUACACCCGAAGAGUACACCGAUAGAUGAGUUUAGUCCCCUCUCUACCAAGUGGACUGUCCGGAAACACCCCAACCUUACUCCUUCCGUCUCACCUAUGGAGGUGCGAAUUGAUGAGGUUUGACAAAGACAAAAACCUCGAUGGGAACUGUUAUGGUUCUUUCAACUGCUAAGGUUAUCAACUCCUUCUGGCGACCAGUGUUCUUAUACGACAACGAUCACGACCGAACCGUGGAGAUGAGAAUCGUAAAGACACCUUGUCGGUCCUACCUCAUAGGUGCCCACGGUCGCAUCGUCGUAUACACUAUCGACCACAAAAACCCUAACGCUAACGACAAGAACGAAAAUGUAAGUGGUCAGGGCUGGCGGGAGGUUCCUCUAUGAAUGAGGGUACCCACAAACCUCCCAAACACUACUCGUAGCAAACCAAGAUGUAGUAACGGUUACUCGACCAACGUGACAACCAACGUAAACCUCACUAUGAACCUUAAUUAGGCAGUUAGGAACCCAAUUGCCACAAUCGUACCCCGUUAAGCUACCCGCUGAACUACAGUUUACACCGGAACCGUUACUUACCUCCUCUGCCACACGUCUAACGAUACAGACCGACAAUACGACCCGGAUACAAGUUAUGUGAACGGCCGAAUCCUUAUAGCUACGACGAACCUCGAACCAGCUGUCGUGGGUUGAGAAUACAAGAAGGCGUCCUGGCGAGAGAAUAAAUGUGCUACUCGAAGGACCAACGACCUAACUAGACCCGUGAACAAUGCGACGGUGCCUCGCCAUACGCCGGAUUGUUCUGCGAACCCCAACCGGAGUAACAAGAGAUGAGUCAAAAGGAAAAGUAAUCUCAUUCGUCACGAUACCCCUAUAACGGUGAGGGCCCGAACUUAAUCAACAAACACAGAUAACAUGUACUGACAGGACAUAUGUCUACUUUACCCCAACAUGUAACAAGGAGACAAGACAACAAUACGGAGUUUAAACCAACAUACGGACAGUCCGAAAGUCUCUGUUAUUUCGGUCUCGUACGGACGUUGACCAGAUGAAUAAACAUUCGAAUUAGUGGAAAGUACGACUAUCGUUAUUAGAUUUGAAGACGACACAGUUGAAUAGAUAUUCCAUGUUUUUUUCCAUGAGGUAAAGAC
This 2332-nucleotide ribosomal RNA is filed under the name Triticum aestivum (bread wheat). Its description in RNAcentral is "partial small subunit ribosomal RNA". Lineage: Eukaryota; Viridiplantae; Streptophyta; Magnoliopsida; Poales; Poaceae. The record is from RNAcentral.